GUAAUUUCACUUUUACACUGAAAGUGUUUUUUAAAAAAAACCGCCGAAUUGAUCUGAUUGAUCUCAAGCGCCGCUGCCUCAAAGCGACGACGCCAUUUUAUCUUCAGGCGACCGAGACGGUUUAUGGUGUUAUGUUCUUGAGGUGUAGAGAGGCAACGUUAGCCUACAGAAGAGGGGAAAUUUCUAAUGCGGGCUCGAUUUCCUGAAAUAAGAUCCUCUCUCCUUCAUUCCCGCCGAGGCCUGGUUUCACUACGAGUCUGAAGCAGACACAUUUGGGCGGUUUUCUACUCGGAGGAGAGAAUUCAUCAAAUGUAGAAUUGGCCCAGACUUCUGCAGUGUCAAGUGAAGGAAGCUCCUCAUAAGAUUGCAAACCUGGAGUCUGAUGACACUGAGCGAGAGUGAUGGAGUGAGCAGAAUGAUGAAGAUGAAGCCAGAAUUCUCCGUAUUUGAAGUGUGUGUGUGCCUCCUUGGAUUCCCACGUCUCGUCUGCCAGUAUCCCUGGAGAAAAGAGAAGCGAUCACCAGUGUGUCACGACUACCAGUAUUGUUCACCACAAGAUAUCUACUCGCCUCUCAAGAUUGCUAUACUCACCUGUUGUGCUUCACCUGUGAAGCCAAGUUCCUGGCUUUUCCCAAGACCUUCAAGGACACGAUUGACCUCGGAAUCAGCUGUAAAGGAGGACGAAACCGAUGUUUAAGUUUAGACUAUAUUUCAGAAUAAGAUUAUCUAUAUUCUGUAUUCAUGCAUUUUUUGCUGAAGUGGUCAUUUCUGUUAUUUAGAACGGGACAGCGAUUAUUGCAUCAAUUUGUCUCCUACUUCAUUUGGUUCCACCAUCGCCACAAGGCUGCAAGGGGCCUAGAGAAAUGUCCUCCUAUCAAGCUGAAAAACAUCUUCAAAAAGGCACUAACCAGAAAAACACCUUGUAGAGACCACACAGCCGUACCUGCUCGCUGAUGGGACAACGAGGAACAGCAUUCAUGGAUGCUACACAACUGUUGACAAGUAUCUUGCUGCAGUCUUGUUCAAAUCUACCUGUCAUAUUUGUUAAUGUCUAGGUAAAUUUGAUGAUUUUAUGUGUUUUAUUCAGGGUUCCCACGCUUCUUGAAAGUACUUGAAUUUCAGACAUAUGGAUUCAAGGCCUGGAAAGUACUUGAAAACAAAAAUGGGUCCUUGAAAGUGCUUGAAUUUAAAUUUGAGAAAAAUUUAGUUUAUGGCGCUAUUUCAAAAAUUGUCCUAUAUGUGCUGUCAAAGAUGGGGUAGCGCAAAAAAAAAAUCUUGGCGUGUGUUGAUGUGCAGCCUAGUUUUCUUAAGUCGCUCCCGCUGAGUUUCUGACCAUUACCGCCCGCUCCCGCAAACAUUCUAUAUUGUAUAUAAUUUUCGCGCUAAUAAUAUGCGGGGUAUUGAAAUCACAUUUGAGUGAGCGCUCGCAGUUCACUUUCGAUUUCGAUUUUCACUCUGUGUAAAGUGAGCACAUCUUUACAGUGCGUGAAUAAUUAUUGAGUACGUUGAUAUUCUGAUCAUAUUUUUUCCCAAGCACAUUUUACCAAUUCCAAACCACAUCGAUCUUAAUAACUACUAUUAAUUUUGUAUUUAAUCAUUUAUAAGUGAUAUGUAAUUAUCCAUGAAGGCUGGAAGUGAAAAUCUCCUUAUAUUCAUGUGUGCAGAAUUAUUAGGCACGUUUUCUUUUACAGAUAAAAUGAGCCAAAAAGUGAUUUAACUGAAAAGUCAAAAAUGAUUAAAUCCCCAAUGAGAAAUAUUCAAAUAUAAUGCAAUACAGAAAUUGUAAAGUUAAGACAGGUGGAGAAUAAAAAACACAAGGUAACUGCAAAAUAAUUAAGAAUUAAUGUGAAGAAUUAGGUGUAAACCAUCAAACCUUUAUUCUUCAGCGCCACCAUUUUCAGAACUGCAACCUUCCUGGAGUCUCCAGAAUUACAAUGUGUCAAGUUCUCAGAGACUUUGCUUGGGUAAAAAAUCCUAAAAAAUGACCCUUACUUAAUAAGACUAACAUGCUGAAGUGUUGUGAAAUACAUGAAGACUAAUUUUUAUAGACUGAUAAGUUGAGAGUGACUCUUGGAGGACCAGCACCACAUCCUCGUGUAGCACUGUUUGAAGAAUUUAUCUUCCAGAAUAGCAGUAAGUUUUAGGAGCUCAUUUUUAGUCAAUCACUGCAAGACAGACUUUUCAGGACAGGAGAUGGACUAAAAAUGAGCUCCCAAAACUUACUGCGACAUGGAGAACUUGAAAAAUAAGAAAAACAGCUUAGUACAGUUUAAAAACAAAUAGAAAGUCCUAUUUUUUUUUUUUUUUUCUUUUUUUUUGCAGAUUUGCACAUGCACAAGGUUUAAAAUGUUCAUGACAUAUUUUUAAAAAAUAUUGAAAUUUUGAGCAGCUGCAUGUUUGAGCACUUGCAUUCCUCUAGGUCAAAGAUGAAAAAAUGGGAUUUACAAAAUAAUUUUGACUUGAGUUAUUUAUUAAUGAGUAAUGUCUCUAUUGGUGGUGGUUGAGGAGAUCC
Long non-coding RNA from Onychostoma macrolepis, 2512 nucleotides. RefSeq lists it as uncharacterized. Lineage: Eukaryota; Metazoa; Chordata; Actinopteri; Cypriniformes; Cyprinidae. The transcript is spliced from 7 exons. The record is from RefSeq and is a predicted model, not a curated record.